UACAGAGGUCUCAAGCGUUGUUCGGAUUCAUUGGGCGUAAAGGGUGCGUAGGCGGCGCGGUAAGUCGGGUGUGAAAUCUCGGGGCUUAACUCCGAAACUGCAUUCGAUACUGCCGUGCUUGAGGACUGGAGAGGAGACUGGAAUUUACGGUGUAGCGGUGAAAUGCGUAGAUAUCUGGAGGAACACCGGUGGCGAAGGCGGCAUCCUGGACCAAUAUUGACGCUGAGGAGCGAAAGCCAGGGGAGCAAACGGG
This 253-nucleotide ribosomal RNA is filed under the name uncultured bacterium. Its description in RNAcentral is "partial 16S ribosomal RNA". It matches the Rfam family "Bacterial small subunit ribosomal RNA", at positions 524 to 776 of the family's 1533-position model. The record is from RNAcentral.